AUUGAACGCUGGCGGCAGGCCUAACACAUGCAAGUCGAGCGGAUGAAGGGAGCUUGCUCCUGGAUUCAGCGGCGGACGGGUGAGUAAUGCCUAGGAAUCUGCCUGGUAGUGGGGGAUAACGUCCGGAAACGGGCGCUAAUACCGCAUACGUCCUGAGGGAGAAAGUGGGGGAUCUUCGGACCUCACGCUAUCAGAUGAUCCUAGGUCGGAUUAGCUAGUUGGUGGGGUAAAGGCCUACCAAGGCGACGAUCCGUAACUGGUCUGAGAGGAUGAUCAGUCACACUGGAACUGAGACACGGUCCAGACUCCUAAGGGAGGCAGCAGUGGGGAAUAUUGGACAAUGGGCGAAAGCCUGAUCCAGCCAUGCCGCGUGUGUGAAGAAGGUCUUCGGAUUGUAAAGCACUUUAAGUUGGGAGGAAGGGCAGUAAGUUAAUACCUUGCUGUUUUGACGUUACCAACAGAAUAAGCACCGGCUAACUUCGUG
This 484-nucleotide ribosomal RNA is filed under the name uncultured bacterium. Its description in RNAcentral is "partial 16S ribosomal RNA". It matches the Rfam family "Bacterial small subunit ribosomal RNA", at positions 30 to 507 of the family's 1533-position model. The record is from RNAcentral.